GCUACUUUACCCCACCGCAAAAAGUCAAGCCAAGCUUCAAACUUAAAAGACCUGGCGGUACUCUAAAUAAACCUAGAGGGGCCUGUCUAGUAAUCGAUAAUCCACGAAAAACCCAACCUCUUCUGGCCAAAUCAGCCUGUAUACCGCCGUCGAAAGCUAAUUUUUCAAGAAAUAUAAAGCUAAAAAGUACAGUUAACUAACACGUCAGGUCAAGGUGUAGCACAUGAAGAGGAUAAGAUUGGCCACAGUAUAGCACCCAACAAAACAACAAUGAAACGCGUAAUUACAAGAAUUUAGCAGUAAGAGAACAAAUGAAUGAUUCCCUGAACCAAUAUACUCCCCUAGAGUACGCACACACCGCCCGUCACCCUCUGACGUCAA
This 381-nucleotide ribosomal RNA is filed under the name Coryphophylax subcristatus. RNAcentral's name for it is "partial 12S ribosomal RNA". Lineage: Eukaryota; Metazoa; Chordata; Lepidosauria; Squamata; Agamidae. The record is from RNAcentral.